This 253-nucleotide ribosomal RNA is filed under the name uncultured bacterium. RNAcentral describes it as "partial 16S ribosomal RNA". It matches the Rfam family "Bacterial small subunit ribosomal RNA", at positions 524 to 776 of the family's 1533-position model. The record is from RNAcentral.
UACGAAGGGGGCUAGCGUUGCUCGGAAUCACUGGGCGUAAAGCGCACGUAGGCGGAUUGCUAAGUCAGGGGUGAAAUCCUGGAGCUCAACUCCAGAACUGCCUUUGAUACUGGCGAUCUCGAGUCCGGGAGAGGUGAGUGGAACUGCGAGUGUAGAGGUGAAAUUCGUAGAUAUUCGCAAGAACACCAGUGGCGAAGGCGGCAUCCUGGACCGGCAUUGACGCUGAGGCGCGAAAGCCAGGGGAGCAAACGGG